CCCAUAGCGACACCCAGCCCCAUAGCGACCCCCAGCCCCAUAGCGACUCUGAGCCCCAUAGCGACUCUGAGCCCCAUAGCAACCCCCAGCCCCAUAGCGACCCCCAGCCCCAUAGCGACUCCCACCCCACAAGUGACUCCCAGCCCCAUAGCGAGACCCAUAAGUGACUCUAAGCCCUAUAAGUGACUCCUCAGCCCUAUAAGUGAACCCUCUGCCCCAUAAGUGAACCCUCUGCCCUAUAAGUGAACCCUCUGCCCCAUAGAGAGACCCACAAGUGGUCCCUCUGCCCCAUAAGUGACCCCUCUGCCCCACAAGUGACCCCUCAGCCCCAUAGUGAGACCCACAUGUGGUCUCUCAGCCCCAUAAGUGACCCCUCUGCCCCAUAAGUGACCCCUCUGCCCCACAAGUGACCCCUCAGCCCCAUAGUGAGACCCAUAAGUGACCCCUCUGCCCCAUAAGUGACCCCUCUGCCCCAUAAGUGACCCCUCUGCCCCAUAAGUGACUCCUCUGCCCCAUAAGUGACCCCUCUGCCCCAUAAGUGACUCCUGUACCCUACAAGUGACUCCUCUGCCCCAUUGGGAGACCCAUAAGUGACUCUCAGCCCCAUAGUGAGACCCACAAGUGGUCUCUCAGCCCCAUAAGUGACUCCUCUGCCCCACAAGUGCCCCCCCAGCUGAGCCCUGUGGGGCUGCCCCACACUCCGCCCCACAAGUGCCUCCAGCCCCACAGAAAUAAAGGUGCUCUCAAUGGAUACAGGCCCCAUUGAUGGGGGGGGAGGAAGUGGGGAGGGGUGGGUGGGGUCUCUAUGGGUCUCUAUGGGUCCCUAUGGGGUCCCUAUGGGUCUCUAUGGGUCCCUAUGGGUCUCUAUGUGUCCCUAUGUGUCCCUAUGGGUCUCUAUGGGGUCCCUAUGGGUCUCUGUUGGUCCCUAUGGGUCUCUAUGGGUCCUAAUGUCCCCCUAUGGGUCUCUAUGGGUCCCUAUGGGGUCCCUAUGGGUCCCUAUGGGUCCCUAUGGGUCCCUAUGGGUCGCUAUGGGGUCUCUAUGGGUCCUUAUGUUCCCCUAUAGGGUCCCUAUGUGUCUCUAUGGGUCCCUAUGGGUCCCUAUUGGCCUCUAUGGGUCUCUAUGUGUCCUUAUGGGUCCCUAUGGGUCCCUAUGUGUCUCUAUGGGGUCCCUAUGGGUCUCUAUUGGUCCCUAUGUGUCUCUAUGGGUCCUAAUGUCCCCCUAUGGGUCUCUAUGGGGUCUCUAUGUGUCUCUAUGGGUCUCUAUGGGUCUCUAAGGGUCCCUAUGGGUUUCUAUGGGUCCCUAUGGGUCUCUAUGUGUCUCUGUGGGUCCCUAUGGUUCUCUAUGGCCCCAUAGAUCUCUGUACCCGGUCUCCCCUCAUCAAUAUUCAAUUGACAGUAAUCAAUAUUAAUGAAUCUAUCAAUAUUUAUGAGCUGCUUCUCGCGGUCCUCAUUAAUAUUCAUAAGCGACCGCAGCGGUUCCAUUGUGGUGAAUGAAAGGGGGGGGGGAGCAGUAUUUUUCUGCCCCAAAAUGGCCGAAAAAGCCGCUUUUUUAACAAAAAAAAGACUCAAAUAGGUCAGAAAAUGAUAAAAAAUGCAUUUCUGGAGGAAUUUGGGCCCAAAAUGGACCAAAAUCGGCGGAUUUUACCUCAAAAAUGGGCGAGAUUUUCCCCUUCAGCGCCGCGCAGUUGAGGCGAUCCGAGGGGACAAAAUGGCGGCGGCAAGAUGGCGGCCACGGCGAGGAGCGGGAAAAUGGGGUAAAAAAGGGCAAAAUUGGGGCUUUUUUGUGGUAAAAAUGGUGGUUUUUGGACAGUUUGGGGUGUGGGGAGGGAAAUUUGGGGGAAAAAAGUGGAAAUUCGGGGUUUUUACGUGAAAUUUUGAGGUUUUUAGGGGGUAAAAUGGGGGUGGUGGAGAGGUUACCUCAGGGAGGGGGACGGGGGAAAAUUGGGGUAAAAAUGGGCAAAAUUGGGGUUUUUUGUGGUAAAAAUGGUGGUUUUUGGAUAUUUUGGGGUGUGGGAGAUUAAUUUUGGGGAGAAAAAGUGAAAUUUUUGGGUUUUUAGGUGAAAUUUUGGGGUUUUUAGGUGGGAAAAUGGGGUUAAAAAGGGGUAAAAUGGGGGUGGUGGAGAGGUUACCUCAGGGAGGGGGACUGAGGAAAAUUGGGGUAAAAAAGGGCAAAAUUGGGACAUUUUGUGGUAAAAAUGGUGGUUUUUGGACAUUUUGGGGUGUGGGAGAUUAAAUUUUGGGGGGGAAAAGUGAAAUUUUGGGGUUUUUAGGUGA
RNAcentral lists this long non-coding RNA (2274 nucleotides) under Coturnix japonica (Japanese quail). RNAcentral describes it as "lncRNA (ENSCJPG00005002123.1)". The record is from RNAcentral. Lineage: Eukaryota; Metazoa; Chordata; Aves; Galliformes; Phasianidae.